This 68-nucleotide transfer RNA is filed under the name Marmota monax (woodchuck). RNAcentral describes it as "tRNA.Ala". The stretch from base 5 to 65 matches the Rfam family "tRNA", at positions 6 to 65 of the family's 71-position model. From Rfam's summary of the family: Transfer RNA (tRNA) molecules are approximately 80 nucleotides in length. Their secondary structure includes four short double-helical elements and three loops (D, anti-codon, and T loops). Further hydrogen bonds mediate the characteristic L-shaped molecular structure. tRNAs have two regions of fundamental functional importance: the anti-codon, which is responsible for specific mRNA codon recognition, and the 3' end, to which the tRNAs corresponding amino acid is attached (by aminoacyl-tRNA synthetases). tRNAs cope with the degeneracy of the genetic code in two manners: having more than one tRNA (with a specific anti-codon) for a particular amino acid; and 'wobble' base-pairing, i.e. permitting non-standard base-pairing at the 3rd anti-codon position. Lineage: Eukaryota; Metazoa; Chordata; Mammalia; Rodentia; Sciuridae. The record is from RNAcentral.
GGAUUGUGGCUCAGUGGCAGAGUACUUGCGUCGCAUGUAAGAGGCACUGGGUUCAAUCCUCAGCACCA